RNAcentral lists this long non-coding RNA (604 nucleotides) under Gallus gallus (chicken). The record is from RNAcentral. Lineage: Eukaryota; Metazoa; Chordata; Aves; Galliformes; Phasianidae.
UGGCUUUCCUCACGCCUCUGUCAAAGGCUCGAGCAUCGGCAGGGCUUUGAAAAGUGAGCCCGAACUUCCUGUUGUCCACUUUCCAGUGGUGGAAGGUCGGGUUCGCCUUGGUGUACACCAGGUCCUUCUUCACGAAGCACUCUAGCACCACCAGUUUGUCUUUCUGCCUUUCACCAUGGAUUAGAAAUCCACUUCUUCCAUUGCCCUCUGGGUACGUGACCUUGCAGACGCCAACUCUACUGAGGCCGCCUCCUUCUUGCGGCAGCCAUCCCCCACUGGAGUCAUCUCGGGUCAUAACCACAGCUUUGACUCGCACAAUAUAGCUGUCAUCGUCUGGGUAGGCGUCCUCGGUCAUCUUCUCCCCGUCUCGGCUCAUCCCUCGCCGCGGGCGGCCGGGCUGCGCCUCCGCAUCUUCCUGCGCUUCACAUGGCGGGGGAGGCCGCGGCGGGGCCGGGGCUGGCGGCCGCGCCGGGCCGGGCCGGGCCCGACGGACGGCGGCGGCGCGGGAGGCUGAGGCGGGGCGGGGCGGAGGGGAGCGGUCCGGCGGCGCUACGGCCGCGCUGGGCGGCGGGCGGCGGCCGGGGGCGGCGGCGGCGGCGGGGAG